This 5434-nucleotide long non-coding RNA is filed under the name Sus scrofa (pig). Its description in RNAcentral is "lncRNA (ENSSSCG00050075094.1)". Lineage: Eukaryota; Metazoa; Chordata; Mammalia; Artiodactyla; Suidae. The record is from RNAcentral.
GGAAUUGAAAACUGCCACUGGAAAGCUGCAUCAUGAGCUGCUUAAGCUUCUAAAGUAUCCAAUGGAUUUUUAAUCAUAUGAGCCUUGAAACAGGGAUAUGAGAAAAGGCUCAAAGCAGAACCCUAAAAGUGGCCACUACCAGCAUGAGGAGACCAGCACGUCAAACUGGUAAGUGAGAAAGAUGAUUCAUGGGUCUCUCCUUUAUGUGUUAUUAAAUCUACUGAUGCCAUUUCUCAUGCAAAGAAUCCUCAUAGUUUACAAACAAAAAUGAGAAUGCUUCUAAAAUGUAGCCUAUGAAGUUCAUUCUCAUUAUGAGAAUACCUUGGGGAGGUGGUAUUAUGUGGGAAAUAUCACCAAUUCUGUUGCAGACAGACAUGGAUUUAAAGUAGCUAUGUGACUUUGUGAAAGCUUAAUUCUUUCCAUCUUACUUUCCUAAUUUUUAAAAUAGAGAUUAGGUAGUUGCCUUAUUAUGUUUUCCUAAGAAGUAGGAUUGCAUAUGAACAAUCAAGCAUUUCCUUAGCACAGAAAAGAGCUAAAAGAUAUGACUAAUAUUUAUUGAAUACAGUCCAUAUGCCAAGCAUUAAAUACUCAAUAUUUUAUUCAUUAUUUUAUUGACGACUCAACAACCCUUAAAGAUAGAUUCUAUUAUUACUCAUUUUACAGAUGGAGAAAUUGUGCUAUUGAAAGAUUAUGUGACCUGCCUUAAAUCACACAGUGUUCUCUGAGACGGUUGAGUGUGGUUUUAUCUGAUGCCAGAGUUUCUGUUCUUGUAUUUAUUUAUUUAUUUAUUUAUUUAUUUAUUUAUUUAUUUAUUUAUUUAUUUAUUUUCAUCUUUUUGCCUUUUCUUGAGCCACUCCUGUGGCAUAUGGAGGUUCCCAGGCUAGGGGUUGAAUCAGAGCUGUAGCCACUGGUCUACACCACAGCCACAGCAACGCAGGAUCCGAGCCACGUCUGUGACCCACACCAGAGCUCACGGCAAUGCCAGAUCCUUAACCCACUGAGCAAGGGCAGGGACCGAACCCGCAACCUCAUGGUUCCUAGUCGCAUUCAUUAACCACUGCGCCACAAUGGCAACUCCCUGUUCUUGUAUUUAUUAAUAAAGACAACAAACAUUUUAUUGGGUAUCAGGCCCCUUUUAGCUGACAUGCCAUGCUACUUCCCAAAUGAUUAUUACUUAAAAUAUAACAACUAUAUACCUAUAUGAAAUCUUAAAGUUUACAUUUAAGGUAUUAAUAAGUAAUUUUGUUUAGUACUCACCUAAUCUCUGUGGAGGACAAAGUAGGCAUUGUUAUUUAUAUUUCUACAGAUGGAGAAAUUGAGGUCCUGACAGAUUAACUGACUCCCUGGCUACAGCUCAAUGCUUCUCAGACUCUGUGGUUAAGGGUCAGUUUACUGUUAAUUCAUUUUAAUCCAUUACAGACUGAAUGACAUUACUAAAAGGCAGACACAAAAUACACAAGUCCACAUAUUUAUUAUUAUUCAUCAUUAUGUUACAGACAUAAAAUUGUAGUACCAAGAGGCUAUAAAAGUUUCUCUUCAUUUCUAUAGUCCUGUGGUACAGAUCAGUCAGUACAUGCAGACUGAACUAGCCUGUAUACCAGACAGUAAAUCAUAGCAUCAGUAGAGCUAAUAUGAGGAAAAUAUAACAUUUGAUCCUAGACCUUCCAUCUUCUAGUCUGGAUCUUUUCAAAUUGUCCCAUGCUACCUCAACAUACAGCAAGAAUCCUGUUUUAUCGCCUAAAGGACAAGAAGAUGAAAGCCAAAUUGUUCACAUGCAACCACUGCAAGAAAACUUGACAAUGACAAAAUAUCUUUAAAGAUUAAUAUGAAACGAUUGAUGUGAAAAAAAAAAGUUGGAAGUUUACAGGAAUGAUUUCUUUCCAAUUUGUUUAUAAGAAACCAAGACUUUAAAAAUUUGGUAUGUGAUAUAUUGUUGAUAUUCUCAACAUAUGUUUUUCUUUCCUCUUUUUGUUUUGUUUAUUCUUUGAAAAGUUAAGUUGUAUUUAGAAGGCUGGGCCUGUUAUUUCCCCAGCAGUAUAGAGAUCUUGUGUAAUUCUAGGAGAUAAAAGGGGUUCUUGGCCAGCUAUGAAGUGAAAAUGAACUCAUCUCUCCAUUACCGUAAAAAACCUCAAAAAUAAGUGCCACUUGUUUAUUUAAAAAACAACUACCAAAGAAAAUUGCAGCGUUUUUGGUGCAAAGUAAAAUGCACACUGAGUCAGCAAUGAAAAUUCACUUUGUAAGACAGUUUUGUGGCUUUCUCAGUUCUAUUGAAAUGGAUCCAAAUAUUUACAUGUGCUAUGUUAUUAAUAACUAUUUUGCCAUCUGUGUCAAAGUAGCAUGGCACAGAUGUUCAGGGAUAACUUUUGGUUGUGAGUAAAUAUUGCAGGAAUAUUGAAUUUUCCUGCAAAUAAUGCUGAUGGGAUGUUUUUUUAACCAUAGUUUAAGAUGUCCGAAAUAGUUGUUUUGAAGUUCUCCCAGCUUAACAGUGCUUAAUGCAGCUUAAAAUGGCUAUAAGGGCAUAGAGAAAGCUGGAAAUUUAUGACCAAAUUCAAAACUGAGACUUUCAGCCAGUCUAUUAUUAGCUUCUGGGAAGGUUCCACAUUGCUAAAUUGAAAUCCAUAAUUUGAAACAGAGCAAAUCAAUGGCCCUAAAUAAUAUUUAGAGUCGUGUUCCUCACUUACUUUCUUCCCAUAGACUCAGAGUUCCAAGAUUUGUAUCACUUGGAAAGUUACGCAGCUAUACCUUGGCCCCUCUCUUCAGUCUGGAUCUUUGUAUCUCUAUCCCUUUGAGGAUUAUCUUUCCUUCUCCCUCUGAAAAGGGUGAAAGGAAGAAAAGACUUAAAUACAUUGUAACCAAGAAAAGAGGGAGAGGAUUUCAUUGCUGGUGUGGUAGCAAUGGGAACAGUGACAAUAGAAUUGUGUGUGUGUGUGUGUGUGUGUGUGUGUGUGUGUAUUCAACUCCGUCAGAUCAUCAGAGAACCAGAGUGUGGAGAGAAGACAGUCCAGCAUUCUCGUCGAGGUGCUUUAUUUGAAUGCCUGAUAUUCAUUGGAAUUUAGACCUGGGGUUGUUCUCAAGCUACUCUUCAACAGUGAAGCUUAGGGACUUUCUACUCAAAACUAACUUGUCAGUAGGGCCAAGGGCUAAGGGUGAGCCUUAUGACUAGUCUGUUGAAAAAUACUGCCCUUCAGUAGAUUUUAUCACUUUCUCAGACCUAGAAACAAACAGUAGCAACAACACAAUCAAAAACAAACAUGGCCUGGAUAAUGAUUGUUUUGACAUGGGAAAUGAAAGCCUCACAGGUGAAACAUGUAGCAUAAUGUUAGUAUAAAAAAAAAAAAAAAGCAAAAUAUUUUAGAAAGUUGUUUUUCAUCCUUAACAUAGGCAUUGAUUAGCUUAGAAGUAAAAGCCAUUAAGAUGGAGAAAAUGGACAUGAUUGCAAGGAAACAGAAAAUGUAACAGAAGAAUUAAAUCUUCCUUUGGAGGCAACAACUAAUGAAAUCAAAUUUUGGAACAAAAACUAAAGAAGUACUCCUAUUAUGCAGAAGAUAAGGACUCAUGGAAUAUAACUAAAAAUAUAACCAGUGAAUAACUAGAUAGAACAACACUAGUAUUUCCCAGUAAGGGGUAGGGGGAGGGUCAAAUAGGGAUAGAGAAUUAAGGGGUACAAAAUAUUCUGUGUAAUAUAAGCUACCAGGCUAUAUUGUACAACUCAGGGAAUAUAAGCAAUGUUUUAUAAUAACUAGAUGGAGUAUAACUUUUAAAAAUUAUGAAUCACUGUAUUUUACACCUGUAACUUAUAUACUAUUAUACAUCAACUAUACUUAAAAAAAAAAAAAGGAGAUAUCUUCUAUUCUUACCUCUCAACUAAAAACAGUAGCCAGGCAAAUGAGUAGUUGUUGUUGAAUGGGUAUAGGGUUUCAGAUUUGCAAGAUGAAAAAGAAUUCUGCAUAUGGAUGGUGGUGAUGUUUGUACAACAGUGUAAAUGCAGGGAAUGCCACUGAACUGUAAACUCUAAGAUGGUUGAGAUGAUAAAUUUUAUUUUACGUGUAUUUUACCACAGUUAAGAAUAAUAGUUUAAAAGACACUAACAUGACUUUACAUUGUCAUUUUUCAUGGCUGGAUGGGUGUGUUAUUUCUACUUCCCUGUAUCCUCCCUCACCUCGUUUAUGUAAGCCUGUUUUAAGAUAAAAGGUGAAUAUUUUAACAUCUAGGAUAUUAUUUUUAAUAAAAAAAUAUCUUCUGGCAAAAAAAUCAACUUCUCAAUUUUGCUCAACUUUUACCUUCCCAUUAGCUAAUUAAUGCAUCACAUUCUGUCCAUUUCAUCUUAUUUCAUUGGGUACAAACCAAUCUUACGACAGCAGAAUCACAGCUAAGUGGUGAUGAUGAGUUUAUUGCAAGAGAGUGAUUGCACACUCUAUUUCUGUGGUGGGAAAACUAUUUGUCCAGCCAUUUGAAACUAGGGAUAGCACAUAGGCAAGAGGCAUGAAUAUGACCCAGGAGGGCAGCGUGAUUUUGACAGAGGGCCUAGGGCUCUCACCCAUGCAGCAUGUGUGACAGCUCCAUCACUCUACCAGGCAUUUCCUCUUGUGGGUUGUGUAAUGGUUCAUUUGCCUCAGUACUAUUAGUUUCUAAACAGUGUGAGAGCUUGGCUGGUAAGCUGUUGAGAAAAUUUGGAGGUGCAUAAUUCAAUACUGUGUUGUCAAGUGGCAUGCUUUUGUAAAAUAAAACCAUAUUAUCAGAAAUUAGCUAGAUCAGAUUUGUGGCUACCAAAGGAGGGAGGCAGGGGAAUAGGAUGAGAAUGGGCAAAGGUACAACCAUCCACUUACAAGAUAUUUAAGUUCUGGGAAUGCAGCCUACAGUAGGAUGACUCUGGUUAACACUGGUUUACAGUAUAUUCAAAAGUUGUUAAAAGAGUAGAUUGUAAGUUUUCAUCACAAGGAAAAAAAACAUUUUUUUUCUUUUGUAGUUGUAUGGGAUGAUGGUUAUUAACUAAGCUUAUUGUGGUAGUCGUUGAAAUAUACAUGUGUAUUUAACAGUGGGUUGUAUAUAAUAUCUCAAUAAAGCUGAGAAAAAAAGGAACUUAUCUAGAUCCAAAUGCAUUUUUGUGGUAGUAAAUAUAUAUAAUAUAAAAGUUAAUAUUUUAACCAUUUUUAAGUGUACAGUUGUAACAUUAAGACUAUUCAUGUAGGAGUUCCCUUUAUGGCUCAGCAGGUUAAAAACCUGUCUAGUAUCCAUGAGCAUGAGGGUUCCAUCCCUAGUCUCACUUAGUGGGUUUAGGAUUCAGUGUGGCCGUGACCUGUGGUGUAGACCACAGAUGGGCUCAGAUCUGGCGUUGCUGUGGCUAUGAUGUACGUCAGCUGUUGUAGCUCUGAUUCGACCCCUAGCCUGGGAACUUCUUUAUGCCCUGGCACAGCCCUAAAAAGAAAAAAAAAAA